RNAcentral lists this long non-coding RNA (752 nucleotides) under Brassica napus (rape). RNAcentral's name for it is "long non-coding RNA (BNAP_LNC014305)". Lineage: Eukaryota; Viridiplantae; Streptophyta; Magnoliopsida; Brassicales; Brassicaceae. The record is from RNAcentral.
UUAAAUGCUGCUUCACACUUUGACGUACUAACAAGGAAAAUAAGAAGGAAGAUAAUAUGUACAUGAGUAUGAGUUUCUUUCGCCAUAAUGUAAGCGCCUUUAGUUAAAACUACGGUAUGUGAUCUCUCUCUCUCUCUGGAAUUGAUUUUUGUCAAGUCAAUUCGACGUCAUUUUCAAAAACUAUUUGUAGAAUCAUAGUUAAUUUGAUUUUAUGAGAUUUAUUCAAUAGGAAUAAAAUACACUUGGUUUCAAUUCAAUUCAAUUCAAGAUUUAAAUGAUCAGUCCAUAGAUUUUCUUUUGCCUACCAAUCAUAGUCUAACUGACCAAAAUUUGUGUUCCAGGACCUACAUAUUUCAUUAGUUUCAUCAUACGGAUAAGGAUAUCCCCGCUAUUUUUGUUGUUAUUGGACUUUAAAAAUGAUGUACUAGCUUAUGUAAAAAAAAAACAGUCAGGUUUGAUAUAAACACAUGUAUUUCAUACGGUCACAGAAUGUGACUUUUGUAUUAUGAAUCUAUGAUAAUAACGCCUGGUAUCUAGCUGAAACUUGCCAUGAAAAGAAAAACAGUUCACAUGAAAAGCAUCGAAUAGCGACAACGAGACUGAGAUACUUAACGGAGCUACAAAACACGCAAUUUUUUUUAUUAAAAAUUGAAAACAUAUAUAUAGAAAGUAGAAACUCACAAGAAAGUUUAGUGUGUGUUUGGAUCUUUAACCAAACGUAACCUCUGUCUUUUAAUUUUUGGGGUUGUCCC